Rattus norvegicus (Norway rat) is the source of this 192-nucleotide non-coding RNA. The record is from Rfam. NCBI's taxonomy places the organism in Eukaryota, Metazoa, Chordata, Mammalia, Rodentia, Muridae.
AGGCAGCAUAGUGUUUCCAGUCUAAGCUGCAGAAGCGCUGGCAGUGUUGUGGCCUGGAGGUGGACUCAGAGGGCGGCGCAGAGCCUUACUUGCGGAGAGGCAAGUCCCGGCUGCUGCGGGCCGAAGCGGGUAGGGGCGCGCUCAGAGCUGCGCGCCUUGCCUGAGCCCUCCUCCCGGCUUUAGCGCUCACAA